This 263-nucleotide long non-coding RNA is filed under the name Ananas comosus (pineapple). RNAcentral describes it as "long non-coding RNA (ACOM_LNC037244)". Lineage: Eukaryota; Viridiplantae; Streptophyta; Magnoliopsida; Poales; Bromeliaceae. The record is from RNAcentral.
UUGAUUGUAUAUCGUAAAAUUAUAUUUCCACAUGUGACAAACCUCUUUUCGAACACUAAACCUUUCAUUUAUAAUUUAAAUUUCCGUUCAUUUUAUCUUACUCCUUUGAAUAAUUUAAUUUUCAAAACUCCUUCAUCCCUUUGAUUGCUAAUUGAGUUUCGUCAAAUUUAUUAUUCUAAAUCCCUUUGUAUUCCAUCCCGACCUAUUUGCAUACCUUUGUAACCGAAUUGUCACCGAUGUGAGCCUAUCCAAAUUUAAACCUU